UUUUUUUUCGCCUGUUCUGUCUGCUGUCUCUGCUCUGCCAUCUCUCAUAGGAUUACAGCACCUCCGCUCCGGUUUCCUGAUCUACCUCUAUCUGCCCUGCCGCUGUUUAGCAGCUCUGUGUCCUGGAUGUGACCGCUGUCCAGCGGCACUGAGAUGAGCCAUGACCGCUGCCCUGCUGUUACUGUCGGCCUUCAUUGCCGAUUGCAGUCCGGAGUUCUGUUUUACACAAGACCAGGACUGGAUAGACAGAGCUUCCUUGAAAGCUGCUGGAGCAAUCGACGGCUGCCAUGUCCACAUUGAGCCACCAAGCGCCCCUGUUGGUGACUGCUACAGAAGCAGGAAAUGAUUGCUUUCAAUGAUUCUCAAGGCUGUUUGUGACCAUCAGGGCUGCUUCAUUAGGUCAUAACAGCCUGUGCCAUCCUCCACAACAUCUGCCUUGGGGUUGGUGACAUUACUUCAAGGAUUAACAUUAGGAAAGGGGAGCAGCCAGUGCUGCGCCAUGGUGAGGGCAGAUGUCUGCCCAG
Molecule: long non-coding RNA, 524 nt
Organism: Paramisgurnus dabryanus
Lineage: Eukaryota; Metazoa; Chordata; Actinopteri; Cypriniformes; Cobitidae
Source: RefSeq, a predicted model, not a curated record